CGUGGAUGAUGAAGGCCUUCGGGUCGUAAAGUCCUUUCUGAGGGAAGAAUUGUUUGGUGAGGAAAUGCACCGGAUUUGACGGUACCUCAGGAAUAAGCAACGGCUAACUCCGUGCCAGCAGCCGCGGUAAUACGGAGGUUGCAAGCGUUGUCGGAAUAACUGGGCGUAAAGGGAGCGCAGGCGGCUUGGUAAGUCUAAAGUGAAAUUCCAGGGCUCAACCCUGGACGUGCUUUGGAUACUGCCUGGCUUGAGUACGUGAGAGGAGAUUGGAAUUCCAGGUGUAGCGGUGAAAUGCGUAGAUAUCUGGAGGAACACCGGUGGCGAAAGCGGAUCUCUGGCACGUUACUGACGCUGAGGCUCGAAAGCAUGGGGAGCAAACGGGAUUAGAUACCCCGGUAGUCCAUGCCGUAAACGUUGUGCGCUAGGUGUAGGAGGUAUCGACCCCUUCUGUGCCGCAGCUAACGCAUUAAGCGCACCGCCUGGGGAGUACGGUCGCAAGACUG
This 503-nucleotide ribosomal RNA is filed under the name uncultured bacterium. Its description in RNAcentral is "bacterial SSU rRNA". It matches the Rfam family "Bacterial small subunit ribosomal RNA", at positions 400 to 896 of the family's 1533-position model. The record is from RNAcentral.